GUUUUGGUCCUAAACUUACUGUUACUUUUAAUCAAAUUACACAUGCAGUAUCCACAUACCAGUGAAAUAUGCCCAAACAUAGUAAAACGGAGCAGGUAUCAGGCACGAAACUCAGCCCAAAACACCAAGCUACGCCACACCCACACGGGCCCACAGCAGUGAUAAACAUUAAGCAAUGAGCGAACAAACACACCUUAAAGCUCGACUUAGUUAUGAUUAACAGGGCCGGUCAACCUCGUGCCAGCCACCGCGGUUAUACGAGGGGCCCAAAGCAGCAGAUUUCGGCGUAAAUCGUGACUAGAAUUUAUCCUUUUAACUAAAGAAUAAACCAUAACCUAACCGUAAAACACAGGUUAAAUGAAAACAGCCACCUUUAUAACCAAGGAAAUUUGACUCACGAAAACUAAGAAACAAACUAGGAUUAGAUACCCUACUAUGCUUAGUCGUAAAUAUGACAUAAUACUACACCAAUGUCCGCCAGAAGAUUACGAGCGAAAAGCUUAAAACUCAAAGGACUUGGCGGUGCUCCNCACCAACUUANAGGAGCCUGUCCUAUAAUCGAUACUCC
This 568-nucleotide ribosomal RNA is filed under the name Sceloporus variabilis. RNAcentral's name for it is "partial small subunit ribosomal RNA". It matches the Rfam family "Bacterial small subunit ribosomal RNA", at positions 10 to 960 of the family's 1533-position model. The record is from RNAcentral. Lineage: Eukaryota; Metazoa; Chordata; Lepidosauria; Squamata; Phrynosomatidae.